UUAAGUUAGAAAGGGCGCACGGUGGAUGCCUUGACACUAGGAGUCGAUGAAGGACGGGACUAACGCCGAUAUGCUUCGGGGAGCUGUAAGUAAGCUUUGAUCCGAAGAUUUCCGAAUGGGGAAACCCACCAUACGUAAUGGUAUGGUAUCCUUAUCUGAAUACAUAGGGUAAGGAAGACAGACCCAGGGAACUGAAACAUCUAAGUACCUGGAGGAAGAGAAAGCAAAUGCGAUUUCCUGAGUAGCGGCGAGCGAAACGGAACAUAGCCCAAACCAAGAGGCUUGCCUCUUGGGGUUGUAGGACAUUCUAUACGGAGUUACAAAGGAACGAGGUAGACGAAGCGACCUGGAAAGGUCCGUCGUAGAGGGUAACAACCCCGUAGUCGAAACUUCGUUCUCUCUUGAAUGUAUCCUGAGUACGGCGGAACACGUGAAAUUCCGUCGGAAUCUGGGAGGACCAUCUCCCAAGGCUAAAUACUCCCUAGUGAUCGAUAGUGAACCAGUACCGUGAGGGAAAGGUGAAAAGCACCCCGGAAGGGGAGUGAAAGAGAUCCUGAAACCGUGUGCCUACAAAUAGUCAGAGCCCGUUAACGGGUGAUGGCGUGCCUUUUGUAGAAUGAACCGGCGAGUUACGAUCCCGUGCGAGGUUAAGCUGAAGAGGCGGAGCCGCAGCGAAAGCGAGUCUGAAUAGGGCGUUUAGUACGUGGUCGUAGACCCGAAACCAGGUGAUCUACCCAUGUCCAGGGUGAAGUUCAGGUAACACUGAAUGGAGGCCCGAACCCACGCACGUUGAAAAGUGCGGGGAUGAGGUGUGGGUAGCGGAGAAAUUCCAAUCGAACCUGGAGAUAGCUGGUUCUCCCCGAAAUAGCUUUAGGGCUAGCCUUAAGUGUAAGAGUCUUGGAGGUAGAGCACUGAUUGGACUAGGGGUCCUCAUCGGAUUACCGAAUUCAGUCAAACUCCGAAUGCCAAUGACUUAUCCUUAGGAGUCAGACUGCGAGUGAUAAGAUCCGUAGUCAAAAGGGAAACAGCCCAGACCGCCAGCUAAGGUCCCAAAGUGUGUAUUAAGUGGAAAAGGAUGUGGAGUUGCUUAGACAACUAGGAUGUUGGCUUAGAAGCAGCCACCAUUUAAAGAGUGCGUAAUAGCUCACUAGUCGAGUGACUCUGCGCCGAAAAUGUACCGGGGCUAAAUACACCACCGAAGCUGCGGAUUGAUACCAAUGGUAUCAGUGGUAGGGGAGCGUUCUAAGGACAGUGAAGUCAGACCGGAAGGACUGGUGGAGUGCUUAGAAGUGAGAAUGCCGGUAUGAGUAGCGAAAGACGGGUGAGAAUCCCGUCCACCGAAUGCCUAAGGUUUCCUGAGGAAGGCUCGUCCGCUCAGGGUUAGUCAGGACCUAAGCCGAGGCCGACAGGCGUAGGCGAUGGACAACAGGUUGAUAUUCCUGUACCACCUCUUUAUCGUUUGAGCAAUGGAGGGACGCAGAAGGAUAGAAGAAGCGUGCGAUUGGUUGUGCACGUCCAAGCAGUUAGGCUGAUAAGUAGGCAAAUCCGCUUAUCGUAAAGGCUGAGCUGUGAUGGGGAAGCUCCUUAUGGAGCGAAGUCUUUGAUUCCCCGCUGCCAAGAAAAGCUUCUAGCGAGAUAAAAGGUGCCUGUACCGCAAACCGACACAGGUAGGCGAGGAGAGAAUCCUAAGGUGUGCGAGAGAACUCUGGUUAAGGAACUCGGCAAAAUGACCCCGUAACUUCGGGAGAAGGGGUGCUUUCUUAACGGAAAGCCGCAGUGAAUAGGCCCAAGCGACUGUUUAGCAAAAACACAGCUCUCUGCGAAGCCGUAAGGCGAAGUAUAGGGGGUGACACCUGCCCGGUGCUGGAAGGUUAAGGAGAGGGGUUAGCGUAAGCGAAGCUCUGAACUGAAGCCCCAGUAAACGGCGGCCGUAACUAUAACGGUCCUAAGGUAGCGAAAUUCCUUGUCGGGUAAGUUCCGACCCGCACGAAAGGUGUAACGAUUUGGGCACUGUCUCAACCAGAGACUCGGUGAAAUUAUAGUACCUGUGAAGAUGCAGGUUACCCGCGACUGGACGGAAAGACCCCGUGGAGCUUUACUGUAGCCUGAUAUUGAAUUUUGGUACAGUUUGUACAGGAUAGGCGGGAGCCAUUGAAACCGGAGCGCUAGCUUCGGUGGAGGCGCUGGUGGGAUACCGCCCUGACUGUAUUGAAAUUCUAACCUACGGGUCUUAUCGACCCGGGAGACAGUGUCAGGUGGGCAGUUUGACUGGGGCGGUCGCCUCCUAAAGUGUAACGGAGGCGCCCAAAGGUUCCCUCAGAAUGGUUGGAAAUCAUUCGUAGAGUGCAAAGGCAUAAGGGAGCUUGACUGCGAGACCUACAAGUCGAGCAGGGACGAAAGUCGGGCUUAGUGAUCCGGUGGUUCCGCAUGGAAGGGCCAUCGCUCAACGGAUAAAAGCUACCCCGGGGAUAACAGGCUUAUCUCCCCCAAGAGUCCACAUCGACGGGGAGGUUUGGCACCUCGAUGUCGGCUCAUCGCAUCCUGGGGCUGUAGUCGGUCCCAAGGGUUGGGCUGUUCGCCCAUUAAAGCGGUACGCGAGCUGGGUUCAGAACGUCGUGAGACAGUUCGGUCCCUAUCCGUCGUGGGCGUAGGAAAUUUGAGAGGAGCUGUCCUUAGUACGAGAGGACCGGGAUGGACGCACCGCUGGUGUACCAGUUGUUCUGCCAAGGGCAUAGCUGGGUAGCUAUGUGCGGAAGGGAUAAGUGCUGAAAGCAUCUAAGCAUGAAGCCCCCCUCAAGAUGAGAUUUCCCAUAGCGUAAGCUAGUAAGAUCCCUGAAAGAUGAUCAGGUUGAUAGGUUCGAGGUGGAAGCAUGGUGACAUGUGGAGCUGACGAAUACUAAUAGAUCGAGGACUUAACCAU
RNAcentral lists this ribosomal RNA (2920 nucleotides) under Bacillus toyonensis biovar Thuringiensis MC28. Its description in RNAcentral is "bacterial LSU rRNA". It matches the Rfam family "Bacterial large subunit ribosomal RNA". The record is from RNAcentral. Lineage: Bacteria; Bacillati; Bacillota; Bacilli; Caryophanales; Bacillaceae.